UGCGCGCGACGUGAAGAGCAGGAGAGAAAGGGGGAGAACCAAACCCUAACAACACAAAAUCAGUCAAAUUGGAAAGGAAUUUGAGGGCUAAACGAAUGCAUGAACUAAGCACUAUGAUCCCCUAAGUGUUCCUAACAUCAAGAGUCAUGUCAACAAGAGCACAAACGAGGAAGUGCCACGGGUUGAAGGUAAACAUGGAAGCUAUGUGCAAAUUCGGACGCAUGAGGUACCAUACGGAUUUCUUCUUCUUCUACUAACGAAGAUGAGCGGACGAAGAUCGAGUCAAGAGCAAGGAUUGUACGAGAAGGAUCGGUCACAUAGUUUAACAAAUGUAGGUCCGAAGUAUUAAUAUAAUGGAACGUGGUAAAUACUUUUUAAUGACUGUAUGACAUUUGGUAUUCGAACUUUCCUGUAAGUACUAUGUCUAUUAAAGAACGAAAUUUUGGGUUCAUAUUUUCCGCUGUGUUGUAUUUUUAAGUUAUUACAAGUUAGUC
Helianthus annuus (common sunflower) is the source of this 494-nucleotide long non-coding RNA. RefSeq lists it as uncharacterized. The record is from RefSeq and is a predicted model, not a curated record. The transcript is spliced from 3 exons. NCBI's taxonomy places the organism in Eukaryota, Viridiplantae, Streptophyta, Magnoliopsida, Asterales, Asteraceae.